GUAUGUGACUGUAGGUGGAGGUAUGUGACUGUAGGUGGAGGUAAGGAGGUAUGGGUCUGUAGGUGGAGGUAAAGAGGUCUGGGACUGUAGAUGGAGGUAAAGAGGUAUGUGACUGUAGGUUGAGGUAUGGGACUGUAGAUGGAGGUGUAGAGGUAUGGGACUGUAGGUGGAGGUAAAGAGGUAUGUUACUGUAGGUGGAGGUAUAGAGGUAUGUGACUGUAGGUUGAGAUAUGGGACUGUAGGUGGAGGUAUGUGACUGUAGGUGGAGGUAUAGAGGUAUGGGACUGUAGGUGUAGGUAAAGAGGUAUGUGACUGUAGGUGGAGGUAUAGAGGUAUGUGACUGUAGGUGGAGGUAUGUGACUCUAAGUGGAGGUAUGUGACUGUAGGUGGAGGUAAAGAGGUCUGGGACUGUAGGUGGAGGUAAAGAGGUAUGUGACUGCAGGUGGAGGUAAAGAGGUAUGUGACUGUAGGUGGAGGUAAAGAGGUAUGUGACUGUAGGUGGAGGUAUGUGACUGUAGGUGGAGGUAAAGAGGCAUGUGACUGUAGGUGGGGGUAUAGAGGUAUGUGACUGUAGGUGGAGGUAUAGAGGCAUGUGACUGUAGGUGGAGGUAUAGAGGCAUGUGACUGUAGGUGGAGGUAUAGAGGUAUGUGACUGUAGGUGGAGGUAUAGAGGCAUGUGACUAUAGGUGGAGGUAUAGAGGUAUGUGACUAUAGGUGGAGGUAUAG
Long non-coding RNA from Oncorhynchus tshawytscha (Chinook salmon), 726 nucleotides. Lineage: Eukaryota; Metazoa; Chordata; Actinopteri; Salmoniformes; Salmonidae. The record is from Ensembl.